This 301-nucleotide ribosomal RNA is filed under the name uncultured bacterium. RNAcentral's name for it is "partial 16S ribosomal RNA". It matches the Rfam family "Bacterial small subunit ribosomal RNA", at positions 509 to 807 of the family's 1533-position model. The record is from RNAcentral.
CAGUAGCCGCGGGAAUACGAAGGGUGCAAGCGUUACUCGGAAUGACUGGGCGUAAAGGGCGCGUAGGCGGCGAGGCCAGUCAGGCGUGAAAUCCCCGGGCUCAACCUGGGAACUGCGCUUGAUACUGCUUUGCUCGAGACCGGGAGAGGAUGGCGGAAUACCCAGUGUAGAGGUGAAAUUCGUAGAUAUUGGGUAGAACACCGGUGGCGAAGGCGGCCAUCUGGACCGGAUCUGACGCUGAGGCGCGAAAGCGUGGGGAGCAAACAGGAUUAGAUACCCGGGUAGUCCCUGUCUCUUAUAC